RNAcentral lists this ribosomal RNA (301 nucleotides) under uncultured bacterium. RNAcentral's name for it is "partial 16S ribosomal RNA". It matches the Rfam family "Bacterial small subunit ribosomal RNA", at positions 509 to 809 of the family's 1533-position model. The record is from RNAcentral.
CAGUAGCCGCGGUAAUACGAAGGGGGCCAGCGUUGUUCGGAUUUACUGGGCGUAAAGGGCGCGUAGGCGGACUGAUAAGUCAGGGGUGAAAUCCCAAGGCUCAACCUUGGAACUGCCUUUGAUACUGUUUGUCUUGAGUUCGAGAGAGGUAAGUGGAACUGCGAGUGUAGAGGUGAAAUUCGUAGAUAUUCGCAAGAACACCAGUGGCGAAGGCGGCUUACUGGCUCGAUACUGACGCUGAGGCGCGAAAGCGUGGGGAGCAAACAGGAUUAGAUACCCGUGUAGUCCCUGUCCUUAUACA